AGUGGGGAAUCUUGCGCAAUGGGGGCAACCCUGACGCAGCCAUGCCGCGUGAACGAUGAAGGCCUUAGGGUUGUAAAGUUCUUUUGCCCGUGACGAUGAUGACGGUAACGGGAGAAUAAGCUCCGGCUAACUUCGUGCCAGCAGCCGCGGUAAUACGAAGGGGGCUAGCGUUGUUCGGAAUUACUGGGCGUAAAGCGCGCGCAGGCGGUUCGAUAAGUUGGGGGUGAAAUCCCCGGGCUCAACCCGGGAAUGGCCUUCAAGACUGUCGGGCUAGAGGACGAGAGAGGUGAGUGGAAUUCCCAGUGUAGAGGUGAAAUUCGUAGAUAUUGGGAAGAACACCGGUGGCGAAGGCGGCUCACUGGCUCGUUUCUGACGCUGAGGCGCGAAAGCGUGGGGAGCAAA
RNAcentral lists this ribosomal RNA (402 nucleotides) under uncultured Hyphomicrobiales bacterium. RNAcentral describes it as "bacterial SSU rRNA". It matches the Rfam family "Bacterial small subunit ribosomal RNA", at positions 353 to 772 of the family's 1533-position model. The record is from RNAcentral. Lineage: Bacteria; Pseudomonadati; Pseudomonadota; Alphaproteobacteria; Hyphomicrobiales.